This 252-nucleotide ribosomal RNA is filed under the name uncultured bacterium. RNAcentral's name for it is "partial 16S ribosomal RNA". It matches the Rfam family "Bacterial small subunit ribosomal RNA", at positions 524 to 776 of the family's 1533-position model. The record is from RNAcentral.
UACGUAGGGUGCAAGCGUUAAUCGGAAUUACUGGGCGUAAAGCGUGCGCAGGCGGCUUUGCAAGACAGAUGUGAAAUCCCCGGGCUUAACCUGGGAACUGCAUUUGUGACUGCAAGGCUGGAGUACGGCAGAGGGGGAUGGAAAUCCGCGUGUAGCAGUGAAUGCGUAGAUAUGCGGAGGAACACCGAUGGCGAAGGCAAUCCCCUGGGCCUGUACUGACGCUCAUGCACGAAAGCGUGGGGAGCAAACAGG